RNAcentral lists this unclassified non-coding RNA (300 nucleotides) under Hevea brasiliensis (rubber tree). Lineage: Eukaryota; Viridiplantae; Streptophyta; Magnoliopsida; Malpighiales; Euphorbiaceae. The record is from RNAcentral.
AUGUUGGUAGGGCAGGGAGCGGAAGAGAUUUAUGAUGACAUUGUGGGAACUGGUUUUUAAGGAUUUACAAGUUUCUUAAUGGCAAACAAAAAAAAAGAUGUCAACUAGUUUGUGGUUGUGAUCAUCGUCAUUUUAUAUUUUGCUUUUCUGAAAGCAGAAAAUAAGUGAUUUGGUUUGUAGUGCUUCUUAACAGUUAAAGUAGAUGAAAAAUUUUAAUAUAAUGGGUUGACGAUAAAAUCUUUUGUGAUCGGACAGGAUAACUAAUGAAAGAAGCUUAAAAAAAUUAAAAAAAAGAAAAAG